GGCUAAAAUCUAAAGUCAUUCCAAUAGAUUAGAGGCAAAACAUAUAGCAAAUACAAGAAUCUACAACCAAGUUGUAAACAUAGCAUACAUAAAUUUGAUGGUUACAGUAGUGAUGGAAAUUCAAAAACAUUUCAUGCAAUCAAAGAAAACUUGUCCAAAAGCUAAUAAAUUGGAACUUGUUAUAUGAAAACUAUGAAGUCUUUUACACAUAUUUACUCACCAUCAGCUCAAGAAAUUUUGAAGAUUUUGUUUGUGACCUAUAAUCUUAACCACUAGUGGCUAAAAUCUAAAGUCAUUCCAAUAGAUUAAAGGCAAAACAUAGAGCAAAUACAAGAAUCUACAACCAAGUUGUAAACAUAGCAUACAUAAAUUUGAUGGUUACAGUAGUGAUGGAAAUUCAAAAACAUUUCACACAAUCAAAGAAAACUUGUCCAAAAGCUAAUAAAUUAGAACUUGUUAUAUGAAAACUAUGAAGUCUUUUACACAUAUUUACUCACCAUCAACUCCAGAAAUCUGGAAUUAAUAAACGAUAAUG
RNAcentral lists this long non-coding RNA (535 nucleotides) under Vitis vinifera (wine grape). RNAcentral describes it as "long non-coding RNA (VVIN_LNC004146)". The record is from RNAcentral. Lineage: Eukaryota; Viridiplantae; Streptophyta; Magnoliopsida; Vitales; Vitaceae.